Molecule: ribosomal RNA, 744 nt
Filed under: uncultured Mollicutes bacterium
Lineage: Bacteria; Bacillati; Mycoplasmatota; Mollicutes
Description: bacterial SSU rRNA
Rfam family: Bacterial small subunit ribosomal RNA
Source: RNAcentral
GCUGGCGGCGUGCCUAAUACAUGCAAGUCGGACGCUGGAGAUCUAGCUUGCUAGAUCGAAGGAGUGGCGAACGGGUGAGUAAUACAUAAGCAACCUACCCACGAAGACUGGGAUAAUCUCUGGAAACGGGGACUAAUACCGGAUAGGUAAUCGGAAGGCAUCUUCUGGUUAUUAAAGGUUAAAAACACUGGUGGAUGGGCUUAUGGCGCAUUAGUUAGUUGGUGAGGUAACGGCCCACCAAGACGAUGAUGCGUAGCCGGCCUGAGAGGGUGAACGGCCACAUUGGGACUGAGACACGGCCCAGACUCCUACGGGAGGCAGCAGUAGGGAAUUUUCGGCAAUGGGGGCAACCCUGACCGAGCAACGCCGCGUGAGUGAAGACGGCCUUCGGGUUGUAAAGCUCUGUUGUAAGGGAAGAACGGUAGAUAGAGAAUAUCUAAGUGACGGUACCUUACCAGAAAGCCACGGCUAACUACGUGCCAGCAGCCGCGGUAAUACGUAGGUGGCGAGCGUUAUCCGGAAUUAUUGGGCGUAAGGGGUGCGUAGGCGGCCUGUUAAGUAAGUGGUUAAAUUGUUGGGCUCAACCCAAUCCAGCCACUUAAACUGGCAGGCUAGAGUAUUGGAGAGGCAAGUGGAAUUCCAUGUGUAGCGGUAAAAUGCGUAGAUAUAUGGAGGAACACCAGUGGCGAAGGCGGCUUGCUAGCCCAAGACUGACGCUCAUGCACGAAGGCGUGGGGAGCAAAU